Molecule: ribosomal RNA, 258 nt
Filed under: uncultured bacterium
Lineage: Bacteria
Description: partial 16S ribosomal RNA
Rfam family: Bacterial small subunit ribosomal RNA
Source: RNAcentral
GUCCACGCUGUAAACGUUGAAUACUCGAUCUUAGCGAUACACAGUUAGGAUCCAAGCGAAAGCGUUAAGUAUUCCACCUGGGAAGUACGAUCGCAAGAUUGAAACUCAAAGGAAUUGACGGGGGCCCGCACAAGCGGAGGAGCAUGUGGUUUAAUUCGAUGAUACGCGAGGAACCUUACCUGGGCUUGAAUGUGAGUGACCGAUGCCGAAAGGUGUCUUCCCUUCGGGGCACAAAACAAGGUGCUGCAUGGCUGUCGU